RNAcentral lists this ribosomal RNA (426 nucleotides) under uncultured bacterium. RNAcentral's name for it is "bacterial SSU rRNA". It matches the Rfam family "Bacterial small subunit ribosomal RNA", at positions 32 to 438 of the family's 1533-position model. The record is from RNAcentral.
AAUCAACGCUGGCGGCGUGCCUCAGACAUGCAAGUCGAACGCGAAAGUUUCCUUCGGGGGAGCGAGUAGAGUGGCGCACGGGUGAGUAACACGUAGGUAAUCUACCUUCGGAUGGGGAAUAACAAUCGGAAACGGCUGCUAAUACCGCAUAAUGCAGCGGCACCUAAUGGUGACAGUUGUUAAAGCGGGGGAUCGUAAGACCUCGCGUCUGAAGAGGAGCCUGCGGCGGAUAGCUUGUUGGUAAGGUAAUGGCUUACCAAGGCGACGAUCCGUAACCGGCCUGAGAGGGCGGUCGGUCACACUGACACUGACAUACGGGUCAGACUCCUACGGGAGGCAGCAGUCGGGAAUUUUGGGCAAUGGGCGAAAGCCUGACCAGCAACGCCGCGUGAAGGAUGAAAUCCCUCGGGAUGUAAACUUCGCAAG